Molecule: non-coding RNA, 72 nt
Organism: Ameiurus melas (black bullhead)
Lineage: Eukaryota; Metazoa; Chordata; Actinopteri; Siluriformes; Ictaluridae
Source: the annotation of a GenBank genome assembly
GAAGUGGUAGCUCAGCAGUUAAAAUGGCAGACUUAUGAUCAGAAGGUCAUGAGUUCAAAUCCCAGCACUGCC